This is a non-coding RNA of Rattus norvegicus (Norway rat), 411 nucleotides long. The record is from RefSeq and is a predicted model, not a curated record. NCBI's taxonomy places the organism in Eukaryota, Metazoa, Chordata, Mammalia, Rodentia, Muridae.
AUUGGCAAAGGUUGGGGUCUCCAGACUCCCCAAACCUUCCUCCCUAUUUCCUCACAAGGGACUAUGGGGAGCGCUGGCUACACAGCUUCCCAGUGUCCCCAAAAGGGCCAGCAGGGAGCAUGGAGAAGGUGGAUGAGGUCAGCUGAGGGCUGCAGUCAGAACACACCUGCAAAGCUUCCUGGCUACACAGAGGACAGUCUUGAAAACAGCUGCGUGCUGACCUGAGUCUCCCUGAGAUGGCGUGGGACUGGGAGGGCCUCCUUUCCCUCCCUCCACCAGCUCCCAGCUCACCACUUCGGAAGGGAACAAGAUGUAGAACUCUCAGCUCCUCCUGCACCAUGCCUGCCUGGAUGCUGCCCUGCUCCUGCCUUGAUGAUAAUGGACUGAACCUCUGAACCUGUAAGCCAGCCC